CGUCGCGGAGAGGACAAUCCGAGAAAAGGGGAACGAGACAGAGAAAGGAGCAUGGCCCCUGCGCAAGAAUGCCCGCAUAAAUCGAAAGGGUUCAAAUGGUGUU
This is a small nuclear RNA of Malania oleifera, 103 nucleotides long. Lineage: Eukaryota; Viridiplantae; Streptophyta; Magnoliopsida; Santalales; Ximeniaceae. The record is from RefSeq and is a predicted model, not a curated record.